RNAcentral lists this ribosomal RNA (500 nucleotides) under uncultured Acidobacteriota bacterium. RNAcentral describes it as "bacterial SSU rRNA". It matches the Rfam family "Bacterial small subunit ribosomal RNA", at positions 355 to 845 of the family's 1533-position model. Lineage: Bacteria; Pseudomonadati; Acidobacteriota. The record is from RNAcentral.
UGGGGAAUUGUUCGCAAUGGGCGCAAGCCUGACGACGCAACGCCGCGUGGAGGAUGAAGACCUUCGGGUCGUAAACUCCUUUCGACCGAGAUGAAUUUCCGCCGACCUAACACGUUGGCGGGGUGACAGUAUCGAGGGAAGCAGCCCCGGCUAACUCCGUGCCAGCAGCCGCGGUAAUACGGGGGGGGCAAGCGUUGUUCGGAAUUACUGGGCGUAAAGGGUUCGUAGGUGGCCCGCUAAGUCACACGUGAAAUCCCUCAGCUCAACUGGGGAACUGCGUGUGAGACUGGCAGGCUUGAGUGCAGGAGAGGAACGCGGAAUUCCAGGUGUAGCGGUGAAAUGCGUAGAUAUCUGGAGGAACACCGGUGGCGAAGGCGGCGUUCUGGACUGCAUCUGACACUGCAGAACGAAAGCCAGGGGAGCAAACGGGAUUAGAUACCCCGGUAGUCCUGGCCCUAAACGAUGAAUGCUUGGUGUGACGGGUAUCGAUCCCUGUCGUG